RNAcentral lists this ribosomal RNA (494 nucleotides) under uncultured bacterium. RNAcentral describes it as "bacterial SSU rRNA". It matches the Rfam family "Bacterial small subunit ribosomal RNA", at positions 28 to 517 of the family's 1533-position model. The record is from RNAcentral.
GAUUAACGCUAGCGGCAGGCCUAAUACAUGCAAGUCGAACGGGAUUCAAAGUAGCAAUAUUUUGAUGAGAGUGGCGCACGGGUGAGUAACACGUAUGCAAUUUACCUUUAACUGGGGGAUAGCCCUCCGAAAGGAGGAUUAAUACCGCAUAAUAUAUUGAAAUGGCAUCAUUUUAAUAUUAAACCUACGGGGGUUAAAGAUGAGCAUGCAUCCGAUUAGCUAGUUGGUGUGGUAACGGCUCACCAAGGCAACGAUCGGUAGGGGGUCUGAGAGGAUGAUCCCCCACACUGGUACUGAGACACGGACCAGACUCCUACGGGAGGCAGCAGUAAGGAAUAUUGGACAAUGGAGGCAACUCUGAUCCAGCCAUGCCGCGUGAAGGAUUAAGGCCCUAUGGGUUGUAAACUUCUUUUAGACGGGACAAAACCCCUUUACGUGUAAAGGGUUGAUGGUACUGUCAGAAUAAGCAUCGGCUAACUUCGUGCCAGCAGCCG